AUACGCUGUCCACGAGUCUGAAGAUACUAUCAGACCUGAACUCCUGCUUGGCUGAGGCAGUGAGUUCACCAUGCUGCAAAAGCCAUGGCGUGCUAUCGUGGCAAUUUCUGUCAGGUGACUCCUCAGGUUCCCUUGUUGCUAUUGUUAUCUGGUAGCACUCUUGCAAUUGGUUGGAAUGAAUUUUCGAGUAGGCUCUAUCCUUUUCUUCUAAAGUUCAGUGUUUGCUUUGCUGAAUAUUAUGUUUUCUUCUUGUUUGAGGAUAACUAGGAGCACUAAACGACAGCAGUGACCUUCUCAUGUUCGACUCCCAUGUGUUUGGGGUUGGUUGGAUCAAGUUGGUGCAUUGGAGGAUGAGACGUUUCUGAGGAUUAAGCAGCGAGGACAGGGACACAACUUCCUCGCUGCCCACCUGUCUAUGCAGCUUGGGCUGCUUUGGCGUCCAAGUUCUCGCAGCUGUUGCUGCCACUUCGCCCGCGGGCUGUGUCGCUCUUCUUGUGAUGUUGAGCAGUCGUCGACAUGGCAGUAGCAUGCAUUGUUGUGAUGCUCCAGGUUGAGGAGUUUUUAAUAGCAGUCUAACUGCCCCUUCAUUUGCUGGAAGUUUGAUUCUUAGCUCAGCCGUUUGCACUUAUAUAUUGUGGUAUGUUGUUUGACCUGUGAUCUGGAGCGUCAGAACAUGUGUAAAGGUCCUGGCAAUUUUUCUGUGAAUGUUGGUACGAAGUAGUUAAACUUGCAUUGCUUAACUUCUAA
Long non-coding RNA from Lolium rigidum, 747 nucleotides. RefSeq lists it as uncharacterized. NCBI's taxonomy places the organism in Eukaryota, Viridiplantae, Streptophyta, Magnoliopsida, Poales, Poaceae. The transcript has 2 exons. The record is from RefSeq and is a predicted model, not a curated record.